RNAcentral lists this ribosomal RNA (325 nucleotides) under uncultured bacterium. RNAcentral's name for it is "bacterial SSU rRNA". It matches the Rfam family "Bacterial small subunit ribosomal RNA", at positions 28 to 326 of the family's 1533-position model. The record is from RNAcentral.
GAUGAACGCUGGCGGCGUGCUUAACACAUGCAAGUCGAACGGAGAUGCCAUAUGAGCGGAGAGUGCUUGCACUUAACAAUCUUUUGACAUCUUAGUGGCGGACGGGUGAGUAACGCGUGGGUAACCUGCCUCAUACAGGGGGAUAACACUUAGAAAUAGGUGCUAAUACCGCAUAAGCGCACAGAGUCGCAUGACUCAGUGUGAAAAACUCCGGUGGUAUGAGAUGGACCCGCGUCUGAUUAACUAGUUGGUGAGGUAACGGCCCACCAAGGCAACGAUCAGUAGCCGGCCUGAGAGGGUNAACGGCCACAUUGGGACUGAGACA